GAUGAAGGCAGGGGCUGCUCCUGUAGCUGAGAUCUGGGGUUGACCUUCGGAGUCAGUGUGAGGAGGUCAGAGAAUGACCGAUUUGGGUUUUAGCCUACUAACUGAUCACUGAGAGCAACCCCAUGAACAUGCUAAGCAGGAUUAAAUUUAUCAGUGUUGGGACAGCUCUGUGGAGUAGCUGGAGCCAUCCCUGCGUUUGCCGCCGGGGUUAGGCUCAGAGGAGGAAUGCAACUUCUCAGAGAUUUAUAGCCAGCUUGUGACAUAGCAUGGAGUUGGUGGUCUGCUAUUACAGAACCAUGGGAUUAAAAGUUUCAUAUUGGAAGUGCAGUGUGAGUGGAAGAAAGACCUUCAUUCUGGAGGAUGCUCUGCUUGGCCUGGAUGCUGCCCAUCAGAAGCCCCAGCAAGACUGUUUUCAGCAGGAAUUCCCCAGGUUUGAUGACAUCAUUCUGCUCGCUGUCCCAGACCAACUGGAGUGUCUCCUUCCUGAGCAUUCAGCCUACAAUCCCAAGGGACUGAGUUGGCUCCAGUGCAGUAUACAUGGAAGUGGUACUUGCUCUUUGGGGCUUGGCCUCAGAACUAUCCUGGAUGGAGGUCAGAGCUUACCGUAUGGUCAGGUCUGUCUUCGCAUAGCCGUCGUACUGUGUGCUCCUCUGCAGUGCAUGCAUAUCCAGUUCAGGACUGCCACAAACCAGGAUUUCUACUUCUUCUGGACGAAGCAGCUAUCAAUAAUCACAAAAACCAUAAUUCAAAAUGAUAGUCUUGCCGGGCAGUGGCGGUGCCCUCCUUUAAUCCCAGCACUCGGGAGGCAGAGGCAGGCGGAUUUCUGAGUUCGAGGCCAGCCUGGUCUACAAAGUGAGUUCCAGGACAGCCAGGGCUGCACAGAGAAACCCUGUCUUGAAAAUCCAAAUUUAAAAAAAUGAUAGUCUUAAAUGAAAUUUGAAGUGUUUUUAUUGCAGAAUCAAAUCAUAGAAAUUAUGACACUGUCUCAGUAAAUAAAAUUACUUUUUUGUU
RNAcentral lists this long non-coding RNA (1011 nucleotides) under Mus musculus (house mouse). RNAcentral describes it as "Hectd2, opposite strand". The record is from RNAcentral. Lineage: Eukaryota; Metazoa; Chordata; Mammalia; Rodentia; Muridae.